Molecule: long non-coding RNA, 947 nt
Organism: Gadus macrocephalus (Pacific cod)
Lineage: Eukaryota; Metazoa; Chordata; Actinopteri; Gadiformes; Gadidae
Exons: 3
Source: RefSeq, a predicted model, not a curated record
GUUAGGCAGGCAAGGCAGUAGGGUUAAACUGGUUAACAGAGUGUGAUUUUUGUUCUCAUGCAGAAGACCAGCUAUGUUUUCCGUUGUCUGCUUUGACAAUUCCGAGGAGGUGGAGGUUGUGCCAACGCAAUGGUACAAUAAUGGGGCGUGCAGGUGGCCCCCCCACAAGGCUGAGGGAGUCAAUCGGGCCAUAAGGCAGCUGGAAGAGCCCCAGGAUAACUGGCCUCUAUUUGACAAUGCCAGGGUUUUUUUUCUUCAGGUAUGUAUACUUAAAUAAUUAACUGAUCAGUCAUGAUAUCAAUAAAUACAAUCCUAAAUUCGAGUUCUGUUCAACAGAUAACUAUCUGGAGUGUCGCCAGAAGCUGCCACUGGCUCAAAACCAGACCGAUUUGGCAUCAGAGGUCGAAGACCCAACAACAGACCGGAGACCCAAAAGAAAAAUCAAGCCAAGUAGACACGUCCGAUCGGACUUUGAAAGUCAAGACCCCUGCAGUCCUCCAAAGAAACAGGCCUUCCAAAUCCUCCCUAAGGCCCCUGCUAUCUCUGGACCGUCCAACUUCAGGCGCAUACUAGCGCAGCCCACGCAAAGUGGGUGUUAUGAGGUCCCUGUGAACAAUGAGCAGCCUCAGGGUUUUCAGCACUUAAUGACCCUGGGGUCAACCCUUCGCCAAGCAAUUGGCGUGAGUUAUGGUGGAGGUGACGUGGCAGAGACAGGGUCAGAGGAGGUGAUGGUAGGGACACCUUAUUCGGGCCAGUCUGUCAGUCCAGGGACAGGGACUCAGAAGGGAGGCUGUGAUCAAAUGUGUGGAAGUAAGAAUUAAUGUGUUACACUCCUCCAGCCUUCGAUUGAUAUAUGAGUGAUAUAUAUGAGUAUAUAUCCUUGGAAUAGAAUAGAUAAAUAGACACAUACAUAAAUAAAUAUGAAUGUACAUACAAAAAUACAUGCG